Molecule: ribosomal RNA, 1206 nt
Filed under: Triticum aestivum (bread wheat)
Lineage: Eukaryota; Viridiplantae; Streptophyta; Magnoliopsida; Poales; Poaceae
Description: partial small subunit ribosomal RNA
Source: RNAcentral
AUGCGUAUCUCUCGAGACGUGACUUUUGAUGAGUCUCGUCCUUUUUACCCACGCCCAUCUUCCUCGUUUUUUUCAGUGGAGGAUAUCUCUUUCCUCACUUUUCCUGACUCCCCUAUCACUCCCGUCGCGCCUGUGCCUAUUCGUUCCACUCCCUCUGCUUCUCCACCCCUCGUCGAUGCGCCGCCACCAUCUUCCCCGGUCUCCUCACCUAGCAUGUCACCGGAUUCUACACCUUCAUCUCCGGUGACUUCUUCGUCGCCACCCCCUGAUUCUACCUUGGUGAUUCCUCCUUCUCUUGUUCCAUCUCUUCCUCAGCAUUACACUCGUCGUUCACGACCUGUGGAUGCUUCCUUGGAUGAGUCGUCCUCUUCCUCUCAGCCUACUUAUGGCUUGCGUUCUCGUCCUCGUCCGCCUAUUGAUCGCUUUGGAUUUCCCACCGCUGGUGCUGCUGUUCUUGAGCCAACUUCUUACCGUCAGGCUGUUGUUCAUCCUGAAUGGCAGUUUGCGAUGGCAGAGGAGAUUGCUGCUCUUGAACGCACUGGUACCUGGGAUCUUGUUUCUCUUCCUCCCGGAGUCCGUCCCAUCACUUGUAAGUGGGUCUACAAGGUUAAGACUCGCUCCGAUGGUUCUCUUGAGCGUCACAAAGCUCGUCUCGUGGCUCGUGGUUUUCAGCAGGAGCAUGGUCGUGAUUAUGACGAGACUUUUGCUCCUGUGGCCCAUAUGACCACUAUUCGUACACUUCUUGCUGUUGCCUCUGCACGCCACUGGUCUAUAUCUCAGCUUGAUGUUAAGAAUGCAUUUCUUAAUGGUGAGCUGCGUGAGGAGGUGUACAUGCAGCCACCACCUGGGUAUUCUGUUCCUGAUGGCAUGGUGUGUCGUCUUCGUCGCUCUCUCUAUGGCCUUAAGCAAGCCCCUCGCGCCUGGUUUGAGCGUUUUGCUUCUGUGGUCACUACUGCUGGUUUUUCAGCAAGUGCUCAUGAUCCCGCAUUGUUUAUUCACCUUUCUCCUCGUGGCCGGACUCUUCUUCUUCUCUAUGUUGAUGAUAUGGUCAUCACUGGGGAUGACCCCGAGUAUAUUGCCUUUGUAAAGGCUCGUCUUAGUGAGCAGUUUCUUAUGUCUGAUCUUGGACCUCUUCGCUACUUUCUUGGGAUUGAAGUCUCUUCUACCUCUGAUGGCUUUUUUAUAUCCCAGGAAAAGUAUAUCUAG